UCCUCCUGUCUCAGCCUUCCCAGUAGCUGGGAUUACAGAACUGGCAUGCAGAUCACAGUUCCCUAAGCUGGGUGACUCUGUAAAACUAACAUGAUUAGAAGCAGAUCCACUGACCCUUAAGCUUGGUGGAAGAUUCUGGAAUACUGUUUUCUUGUGUUAACGAAAGCUGUUCAAAGACCAUUUCACCUCUCUGUGACUCUGACAGUGGAAACAGGAGGACAUCACCCUCCUUCUCACCUGGAAAGACGACAUCCAGUUCUUUUCCUCCCAUCUGAUAGUCUGGGAAUCUGAUCCCAAGUCAUCAACGUGGCUGCUUCCCCUCCUUUUGGGGAAAUAAAGAUUAAGCGAGCUCAUAUUUCCUUCACAAGAGACUCAA
Lemur catta (Ring-tailed lemur) is the source of this 376-nucleotide long non-coding RNA. RefSeq lists it as uncharacterized. The record is from RefSeq and is a predicted model, not a curated record. The transcript is spliced from 3 exons. NCBI's taxonomy places the organism in Eukaryota, Metazoa, Chordata, Mammalia, Primates, Lemuridae.